This 498-nucleotide ribosomal RNA is filed under the name uncultured bacterium. RNAcentral describes it as "partial 16S ribosomal RNA". It matches the Rfam family "Bacterial small subunit ribosomal RNA", at positions 29 to 523 of the family's 1533-position model. The record is from RNAcentral.
AUUGAACGCUGGCGGCAUGCCUUACACAUGCAAGUCGAACGGUAACGCGGGGCAACCUGGCGACGAGUGGCGAACGGGUGAGUAACGCAUCGGAACGUGCCCAGUAGUGGGGGAUAGCCCGGCGAAAGCCGGAUUAAUACCGCAUACGACCUACGGGUGAAAGGGGGGGAUCGCAAGACCUCUCGCUAUUGGAGCGGCCGAUGUCAGAUUAGGUAGUUGGUGGGGUAAAGGCCUACCAAGCCUACGAUCUGUAGCUGGUCUGAGAGGACGACCAGCCACACUGGGAAUGGGACACGGCCCAGACUCCUACGGGAGGCAGCAGUGGGGAAUUUUGGACAAUGGGCGCAAGCCUGAUUCAGCCAUGCCGCGUGCGGGAAGAAGGCCUUCGGGUUGUAAACCGCUUUUGUCAGGGAAGAAACGCUCUGGACUAAUACUCUGGGGUAAUGACGGUACCUGAAGAAUAAGCACCGGCUAACUACGUGCCAGCCGCCGCAGUAA